This 1900-nucleotide long non-coding RNA is filed under the name Ananas comosus (pineapple). RNAcentral's name for it is "long non-coding RNA (ACOM_LNC027265)". The record is from RNAcentral. Lineage: Eukaryota; Viridiplantae; Streptophyta; Magnoliopsida; Poales; Bromeliaceae.
UUUUUUUUUUAUUUAAAAUAACAUACUAUUAUCCGUAUCAUUUAUUUUUGGCCAAUUUGCAUAAAAAAUUCACUAAUUUUGUGCUUUUGCAAAAGUGGGCCACAUUUUUAGUUUUUGCAUAUUCGGGCGGAAUUUUCAGAAGGAUGACCAAACUACCCCUCUUUAAAUAUUCAUAAAAAUUAUAUACUUUAAAUGUCUAGAAAAAUACAACUGCUAAGCCAUUAUGUAUAAAACUUCUUGGAAAUGACAACUGCUAAGCCAUAAUUAUAUGCAUGUACCUUUUUUGUAAAACAAGAAACCUUAUUCAAGAGAAAAUAAAAAAAAUAAAGAUUAAUUAAUAAGAUGAAAGAGUGCAAUAUUCUCUUAAAUAGUGCAACAAUCUCUUCAAAAUAGUGCAAUAUCUGUAUAAGUAGUGCAACAUAUGCAUUGUUAAUACACAUUUUGCAUGAUUUUUACACUAAAUUACGCACAGUUUAGUAUAUUACACGAAAAUAAUAUAAUAUAUUACAACAUACUAUAAAAAUUAUACAAUAUAUGUACAAACGGUGCAUAUUUUACACUAUUUAUUCAUAUAUUUACACCAUUUGUGUAAAUAUUGCACGAUUUUGAGAGGAUGUUGCACCAUUUAAAUGUGUGUUGCACUCUUUCUUUUUGAAAAUUAAAUUUUAUUGCAUAUUAAAUAAAGUGUAAAACUUCUUGAAAAUGACAAAUGCUAAGCCAUAAUUACAUGCAUGUACCUUUCUCGUGAAACGAGAAACCUCAUUCAAGAGAAAAUAAAAAAAAAAAAAGAUUAAUUAAUAAGAUGAAAGAGUGCAAUAUCCUCUCAAAUAGUGCAACAAUCUCUUCAAAAUAGUGCAAUAUCUGUAUAAGUAGUGCAACAUAUGCAUUGUUAAUACACAUUUUGCAUGAUUUUUACACUAAAUUACGCACAGUUUAGUAUAUUACACGAAAAUAAUAUAAUAUAUUACAACAUACUAUAAAAAUUAUACAAUAUAUGUACAAACGGUGCAUAUUUUACACUAUUUAUACAUAUAUUUACACCAUUUGUGUAAAUGUUGCACUAUUAUGAGAGGAUGUUGCACCAUUUAGAUGUGUGUUGCACUCUUUCUUUUUGAAAAUUAAAUUUCAUUGCAUAUUAAAUAAAGUGUAAAACUUCUUGGAAAUGACAACUGCUAAGCCAUAAUUACAUGCAUGUACCUUUCUCGUGAAACGAGAAGCCUCAUUCAAGAGAAAAUAAAAAGAAUAAAGAAUAGUUAAUAAGAUGAAAGAGUGCAACAUCCUCUCAAAUAGUGUAACAAGCUCUUCAAAAUAAUGCAAUAUCUGUAUAAGUAGUGCAACAUAUGAAUUGUUAAUACACAUUUUGUAUGAUUUUUACACUAAAUUAAUUACAUACAGUUUAUUAUAUUAUAUGUUGCAUAUUAUUUUCGCGUAAUAUAUUAAACUGUAUGUAAUUUAGUGUAAAAAUUAUGUAAAAUGUGUAUUAACAAUGCGUAUGUUGCACUACUUAUACAGAUAUUGCACUAUUUUGAAGAGCUUGUUGCACUAUUUGAGAGGAUGUUGCACUCUUUCAUCUUACUAAUUAUUCUUUAUUUUUUUAUUUUCUUUUGAAUGAGGUUUCUCGUUUCACGAGAAAGGUACAUGUAAUUAUGGCUUAGCAGUUGUCAUUUCCAAGAAGUUUGACACUUUAUUUAAUAUGUAAUGAAAUUUAAUUUUCAAAAAGAAAGAGUGCAACACACAUAUAAAUGGUGCAACAUUCCCUUAUAAUAGUGCAACAUUUACACAAAUUGUGAAAAUAUAUGUAUAAAUAGUGUAAAAUAUGCACUGUUUAUACAUAUAUUGUAUAAUUUUUAUAAUAUAUUGUAAUAUAUUAUAUUAUUUUUGCGUAAUAUACUAAACUGUA